Molecule: ribosomal RNA, 495 nt
Filed under: uncultured bacterium
Lineage: Bacteria
Description: partial 16S ribosomal RNA
Rfam family: Bacterial small subunit ribosomal RNA
Source: RNAcentral
GACGAACGCUGGCGGCGUGCCUAAUACAUGCAAGUAGAACGCUGAAGGAGGAGCUUGCUCUUCUGGAUGAGUUGCGAACGGGUGAGUAACGCGUAGGUAACCUGCCUGGUAGCGGGGGAUAACUAUUGGAAACGAUAGCUAAUACCGCAUAACAGUAGAUGUUGCAUGACAUUUACUUAAAAGGUGCAAUUGUAUCACUACCAGAUGGACCUGCGUUGUAUUAGCUAGUUGGUGGGGUAACGGCUCACCAAGGCGACGAUACCUAGCCGACCUGAGAGGGUGGACCGCCAACAUGGGACUGGGACACGGCCCCGACCCCUACGGGAGGCAACAGUAGGGAAACUUUGGGAAUGGGGGGAAAGCUUACCGGACAAAGCCGGGUGAGUGAAGGAGGGUUUCGGAUCGUAAAGCUCUGUUGUAAGGGAAGAAAGAGUGUGGGAGUGGAAAGUUCACACUGUGACGGUACCUAACCAGAAAGGGACGGCUAACUACGUG